Molecule: non-coding RNA, 764 nt
Organism: Callorhinus ursinus (northern fur seal)
Lineage: Eukaryota; Metazoa; Chordata; Mammalia; Carnivora; Otariidae
Source: RefSeq, a predicted model, not a curated record
CCCCUGGAACAGUGGGACAGUGGCGGCUGAGAUUCUAUUGCCUGGUAGGAGAUGGCAGAGAAGUUUUGGCAAUAUGCGCAGUUGCCUGGAGCAGCAUCCGCCAGUUAAAGUCGGCUUAAGCGCCUGUGAGCCUCCCCUGGGGUCUCUAGAAACACUCUGCUGCUGCCUAUGUGUGGGGAUGUCCCAAGGGGUCUCUAUGAUGUCAUUCCUGGAAUCUGAUGAGGCUUCCAUGUGAAACUAGCAAAACGGCCAUUUUGCUUCUCCUGUCUUAACAAACGCGGAGAAAGUCUGGACCACUCUAACGAAAGUGAACAGGAAACCUUUGUCUCCUGGAAGUUGACCCCAUCUUGUGUGUGAAGUAUAUACUUUCAACUUUUGCAUGCUCUCCCUAUGGCUCGGGGAGAACUCUGGUAUCUGCUUAGCUAUCUCCUUUUUCAUGAAACAAACCAGAUUUUUGACAACACCGACUGAACUUGGUCCAUUGCAGACAUUGCCCAAGAAACCACCUGGCCUAGCUACAUUGUAAUAACUGCUCUGAGCAUCUAAUUCCACCAGGUCUUGUUUGAAAAAGAGAAAUUCCCCAAAUGACUAAUGCUUUUAGGUCCGGCGGCAGUUUUUCAUUGUCCUCAAAGCACCUGGUGUAACCUACUUGCUUUCAAUUCUUCUGAGAGCCUGUGGAUUUGAAAUGAAAAAAAGAAAAUAGGAUCCCCUAAGUCCACAGGGCAAGGCAAUCUGCUUUCAUUAAAGAGAACUCCAAAUGUUUC